UACGUAGGGGGCAAGCGUUGUUCGGAUUUACUGGGCGUAAAGGGCGCGUAGGCGGCGCGGUAAGUCACUUGUGAAAUCUCUGAGCUUAACUCAGAACGGCCAAGUGAUACUGCAGUGCUAGAGUGCAGAAAGGGCAAUCGGAAUUCUUGGUGUAGCGGUGAAAUGCGUAGAUAUCAAGAGGAACACCUGAGGUGAAGACGGGUUGCUGGGCUGACACUGACGCUGAGGCGCGAAAGCCAGGGGAGCAAACGGG
This 253-nucleotide ribosomal RNA is filed under the name uncultured bacterium. RNAcentral's name for it is "partial 16S ribosomal RNA". It matches the Rfam family "Bacterial small subunit ribosomal RNA", at positions 524 to 776 of the family's 1533-position model. The record is from RNAcentral.